CAUAUCAAUAAGCGGAGGAAAAGAAACCAACAGGGAUUCCCCUAGUAACGGCGAGUGAAGCGGGAACAGCUCAAAUUUGAAAUCUGGCCUUCGGGUCCGAGUUGUAAUUUGCAGAGGAUGCUUUUGGUGCGGUGCCUUCCGAGUUCCCUGGAACGGGACGCCUUAGAGGGUGAGAGCCCCGUACGGUUGGCCACCAAGCCUUUGUAAAGCUCCUUCGACGAGUCGAGUAGUUUGGGAAUGCUGCUCAAAAUGGGAGGUAUAUUUCUUCUAAAGCUAAAUACUGGCCAGAGACCGAUAGCGCACAAGUAGAGUGAUCGAAAGAUGAAAAGCACUUUGAAAAGAGGGUUAAAUAGCACGUGAAAUUGUUGAAAGGGAAGGGUUUAUGACCAGACCUUUUCUAGGGGGAUCAUCCGGUGUUCUCACCGGUGCACUUCCCCUAGUUGAGGCCAGCAUCGGUUUCUGUAGGGGGAUAAAAGCUUCGGGAAUGUGGCUCCUUCGGGAGUGUUAUAGCCCGUUGCAUAAUACCCUUACGGGGACCGAGGUCCGCGCUUCGGCUAGGAUGCUGGCGUAAUGGUUAUUAACCACCCGUCUUGAAACACGGACCAAGGAGUCGAACAUUUGUGCGAGUGUUUGGGUGUUAAACCCUCACGCGUAAUGAAAGUGAACGGAGGUGAGAGCCCUUCGGGGUGCAUCAUCGACCGAUCCUGAUGUCUUCGGAUGGAUUUGAGUAAGAGCAUAACUGUUCGGACCCGAAAGAUGGUGAACUAUGCGUGGAUAGGGUGAAGCCAGAGGAAACUCUGGUGGAGGCUCGCAGCGGUUCUGACGUGCAAAUCGAUCGUCAAAUCUGCGCAUGGGGCGAAAGACUAAUCG
RNAcentral lists this ribosomal RNA (870 nucleotides) under Apiospora sichuanensis. RNAcentral's name for it is "partial large subunit ribosomal RNA". It matches the Rfam family "Eukaryotic large subunit ribosomal RNA", at positions 39 to 937 of the family's 3401-position model. The record is from RNAcentral. Lineage: Eukaryota; Fungi; Ascomycota; Sordariomycetes; Amphisphaeriales; Apiosporaceae.